CCGGGCCUCCGCUCCUUCCCCGCCGCCGACGGACUGUCCGGCCGCAGGCGACGGGCGAGGGCGGCGUGAUCGGGCGCUCGCUGUUCAAGAAGGAGACGAACAUCCAGCCGUUCGCGGGGCUGCGCGUGCGCCUGUCCACCGGCGAGCUCGGCCUCAUCGAGGGCGCCUUCGGCCAGAGCGGCAAGUUCAAGGUCAGCGUCCCCGGCGGCCUCAGCGAGGAGGCCAAGAGGAUCCUGGCCCCGGCUCCCAAGAGGCGAGGCCGGGCGGGCCGCGGGGAGGCAGCCUCGGCCUCCCCCGGGCAGGAGGAGGCCACGGAGCAGGCGGAGGCCGCAGCCCAGCAGCACGUGACCCUCAGCCUCUCUUUCAAGCGCUACGUCUUCGACCCCCAGAAACGCAUGGUCCAGUCGCCCUGACGGCCUCCGCGCCCGGCCUCCGCGCCCGGCCUCCGCACCGAGCCUCCGCGGCGAGGGGGCCCGGGGGCUGCCGUGCCAGACGCCCCCAGUGACGAGCUGGGGACAGCGGUGGCACUUGUCACCGAGCCCCGGAAAAGGAACCGGCCUCCGCCACGCCGUUCGAGGCUCCGCCAGGCCUCCACCCCUGGCCUCCUUGGUCUCCGACGGCUGCCAAUAAACGUCACGUGUGUCCACA
Molecule: non-coding RNA, 648 nt
Organism: Microcebus murinus (gray mouse lemur)
Lineage: Eukaryota; Metazoa; Chordata; Mammalia; Primates; Cheirogaleidae
Source: RefSeq, a predicted model, not a curated record